AGAGUUUGAUCCUGGCUCAGAGUGAACGCUGGCGGCAGGCCUAACACAUGCAAGUCGAGCGCUGAUUUCAGGGUAGCAAUAUUCUGAGGUCGGAGCGGCGCAAGGGUGCGUAACACGUGGGUAAUCUGCCAUGAAGUUCGGGAUAACUUGCUGAAAGGCGAGCUAAUACCGGAUGUGACAGCCGAGAGACAUCUCCUGGUUGUUAAAGUUGGGGACCGUAAGGCCUGACGCUUCUUGAUGAACCCGCGGCCUAUCAGCUAGUUGGUGAGGUAACGGCUCACCAAGGCUAAGACGGGUAGCUGGUCUGAGAGGACGACCAGCCACACUGGAACUGAGACACGGUCCAGACACCUACGGGUGGCAGCAGUCGAGAAUUUUUCACAAUGGGCGCAAGCCUGAUGGAGCGACGCCGCGUGGGGGAUGAAUGGCUUCGGCCCGUAAACCCCUGUCAUUUGCGAUCAAACGUUAUUAUUUAAAAGAUGAUGACCUGAUAGUAGUGAAAGAGGAAGGGACGGCUAACUCUGUGCCAGCAGCCGCGGUAAUAC
RNAcentral lists this ribosomal RNA (545 nucleotides) under uncultured bacterium. Its description in RNAcentral is "bacterial SSU rRNA". It matches the Rfam family "Bacterial small subunit ribosomal RNA", at positions 8 to 526 of the family's 1533-position model. The record is from RNAcentral.